Wallemia sebi is the source of this 82-nucleotide transfer RNA. It matches the Rfam family "tRNA". Rfam says of the family: Transfer RNA (tRNA) molecules are approximately 80 nucleotides in length. Their secondary structure includes four short double-helical elements and three loops (D, anti-codon, and T loops). Further hydrogen bonds mediate the characteristic L-shaped molecular structure. tRNAs have two regions of fundamental functional importance: the anti-codon, which is responsible for specific mRNA codon recognition, and the 3' end, to which the tRNAs corresponding amino acid is attached (by aminoacyl-tRNA synthetases). tRNAs cope with the degeneracy of the genetic code in two manners: having more than one tRNA (with a specific anti-codon) for a particular amino acid; and 'wobble' base-pairing, i.e. permitting non-standard base-pairing at the 3rd anti-codon position. NCBI's taxonomy places the organism in Eukaryota, Fungi, Basidiomycota, Wallemiomycetes, Wallemiales, Wallemiaceae. The record is from Rfam.
GGUUUUGUAGUGUAGCGGUUAUCACAGUGGAUUUUGAUUCACAAACAUUCCAUUAACCCCGGUUCGAAUCCGGGCAAGACCU